Molecule: ribosomal RNA, 446 nt
Filed under: uncultured bacterium
Lineage: Bacteria
Description: partial 16S ribosomal RNA
Rfam family: Bacterial small subunit ribosomal RNA
Source: RNAcentral
CCUACGGGUGGCAGCAGUCGAGAAUCAUUCACAAUGGGGGAAACCCUGAUGGUGCGACGCCGCGUGGGGGAAUGAAGGUCUUCGGAUUGUAAACCCCUGUCAUGUGGGCGCAAAUUAAAAAGAUAGUACCACAAGAGGAAGAGACGGCUAACUCUGUGCCAGCAGCCGCGGUAAUACAGAGGUCUCAAGCGUUGUGCGGAAUCACUGGGAGUAAGGCGUGCGUAGGCUGUUUCGUAAGUCGUGUGUGAAAGGCGCGGGCUCAACCCGCGGACGGCACAUGAUACUGCGAGACUAGAGUAAUGGAGGGGGAACCGGAAUUCUCGGUGUAGCAGUGAAAUGCGUAGAUAUCGAGAGGAACACUCGUGGCGAAGGCGGGUUCCUGGACAUUAACUGACGCUGAGGCACGAAGGCCAGGGGAGCGAAAGGGAUUAGAUACCCGUGUAGUC